RNAcentral lists this transfer RNA (67 nucleotides) under human gut metagenome. It matches the Rfam family "tRNA". From Rfam's summary of the family: Transfer RNA (tRNA) molecules are approximately 80 nucleotides in length. Their secondary structure includes four short double-helical elements and three loops (D, anti-codon, and T loops). Further hydrogen bonds mediate the characteristic L-shaped molecular structure. tRNAs have two regions of fundamental functional importance: the anti-codon, which is responsible for specific mRNA codon recognition, and the 3' end, to which the tRNAs corresponding amino acid is attached (by aminoacyl-tRNA synthetases). tRNAs cope with the degeneracy of the genetic code in two manners: having more than one tRNA (with a specific anti-codon) for a particular amino acid; and 'wobble' base-pairing, i.e. permitting non-standard base-pairing at the 3rd anti-codon position. The record is from RNAcentral.
GGUAUAGCGUAGUUGGUUAACGCGUCAGAUUGUGGCUCUGAAGACCCAGGGUUCGAGUCCCUGUAUC